AAUUAGGUAGUUUAAAAAAAACGUAAGUCUUGUAAAUUUAUAAUGAGUUUUCCCUAAAAA
Molecule: transfer RNA, 60 nt
Filed under: Lithobius maqinensis
Lineage: Eukaryota; Metazoa; Arthropoda; Chilopoda; Lithobiomorpha; Lithobiidae
Description: tRNA-Thr
Source: RNAcentral